This 2220-nucleotide long non-coding RNA is filed under the name Gossypium barbadense (sea-island cotton). RNAcentral's name for it is "long non-coding RNA (GBAR_LNC008304)". Lineage: Eukaryota; Viridiplantae; Streptophyta; Magnoliopsida; Malvales; Malvaceae. The record is from RNAcentral.
UUUUCUCCACCUUUGUUCAUCAUAGCUGAAAGUUAGAGAAGAGAAAGGAGAGGAGAAAGCUCUUGAGUAUUCGGUCAUUAGGAGGAGGAAAAUUGAAGGUAAGUUCUUGGUACAUUGCUUCUAUUUUGAGGUUCAUGAGUUCUUCUUGAUUCUACCUUAACUCUUGAAGUAUAUUUUGAUUUUUAGUUGUGUUGUGAGCAUUUAGUCAUGAAUUAAAAUGAAGGAAAUGGUUGUUGUUUCAUGUUCUUUUGAUGAAAAAUGGAAGAUAGGUGAAGUUGAGCCAAACAAAUGAACAUGCAUGUGCCUUAGAUGUUAAAGGGAAAAAUCAGCUAACAUGUUGUGCUUUAAAAUGAUGAAAUGGAGAUUAUACUUAAGUAAAAUCAUAGAUAUGUGAUGAUUGAUUGGUGAUAUACAUGUUUAAAUAACAUGCAUGCAAGGUAUGUGUGAAAGAGUGAUUUGGUAAUAAAUCUGCUUGGGACAGCAGCAGCAACGUGAUUUUGGAAAAUCACCAUAAAUUGUGGGAGAAGAAUUAGAAGCUGAAUAAAUUAUGUAAUUAAAGCUUAUUGAGUCUAGUUUCUAAUGAAAUAAACAAGAACAUAUUUUUAAUUCUGUACAAUGAGAAAUUUGAUUCGUAAUGAAGGGUGGUUAGAUUAGUCAAACAGUGAAACAUGGGAAACUUUGAGAAAAAUCUGGUAUUGAUUGGCCAAACCAAAAAUGCUGAAAAUUUUAUGAAUAGAAUAUAUAUGAGUCUAUUUUCAGGAAAAAUUAACGGCACUUGAUUUGGAGUUUCGUAGCUCCAGUUAUAAAUGAUUUAGUGACUGUCGCUCAGGAAGACAGCUUGCAAUGAAAUUAUGAUUAUGUGGUAAACAUUGACAAAAAUUUGUUAAUGAGUUGCUUAUUGUUUUCUUAUAAGCUUACUAUGAUCUGUAGGUGUGGUUGGCCGAAUAUUGUAAGGGGUUAAUACGUAGUUUGUAUUUGAAUAGCUAGAUUAACGUGUUAGUAAUCCAAUUGUAGGCGGUUCGUGUGUGGAUCUCGUCAGCAUAUCGUCGCAAACAGGUGUGUAACUAACACCCUCUUUCUUAGUCUAGAUCGGUAAAAGUCGAAAAGUCGAAAUGCCGAAAAUCGGUAUUUUGUAGAUUUGCGAGUGUGCGAAUACUCGUGAGGUAAAUCGAUUAAUGUUUUUGGUAAGCUGCAAUGUUUGGAUUGCAAAGUGCAUGAUUUCUGUGCCCUCGAUAUUUUUGGGCUUAAUGGGCCAAAACUGGAAUGAUGGGCCAACGGGCCCAAUUCGGUAAGAACCCUCGGUAGUGAUUCUGUUAGUACGUGAAAGGUAGGAAUAUGCAUGAAAAACCCUAAAAUAGAUAAAUUACUGAAAUACCUUUAAAAGUGGAAAAUUUACAAUUUUACCCCUAUGAGAUAAAUUACCGAAAUACCCCUAGAGUUAAAUUGACUUAAAUGCAUGUUUGACUGUUGUUAUUUACUGCAUGCCAUGUUGUUAUUAUCUGAUGCAUGGGAUUGGGAUAUUGACGGAGGAAGUACUGAAAGUGGCUUGUCCACGUACUGGAGGCUUUGCCUCAAUUUACUGUUAACUGAGCAGCAAGGCUGCAACUGUGGAGUGUUGGGCUGGGUGGGUUGAGCUAUUCCCCACAUGGAGUGUAUGGCUGGUACGGGUGGAGUGUAGUGGUUGGUGGGUUGAGUAGUCUCCCCAAAUGGGCUUGCAUAUGUUUACUGAUGUUGCAUGUAUUUUGAAAUGGGCCUACGGGCCAUACUGUUAUCUGAAUAAGGGGCUAAGGCCCAGUUUAUUGUAAUUUGAAAAGGGCUCUAGCACAGUACCACUGUUACCCAAAUGGGCUUGCAUAUGUUAUUGAUGUUGCAUGUAUUUUGAAAUGGGCCUAUGGGCCAUACUGUUAUCUGAAUAAGGGGCUAAGGCCCAGUUUAUUGUAAUCUGAAAAGGGCUCUGGCCCAGUACCACUGUUACCUGAAUGGGCUUAGGCCCAAUGGGCUUGAGCUGACUUGGGCUUUGAAUGGGUUUUCCUUACACACUGAGUUUCCCCAAACUCACCCCUUUUAUUUUCAUCCAUGCAGGAAAUCCCCAACCAUAGUGGGCUUGGAGCUGUGAGGGAAUUCGGAGUGGCCACCCGUUCUGAAAGUUUGAUUUUCUUCUGGUGAACUGGACAUCCUUUUAUUUACGUUUGAUGUUUUGGGUUUUUAAAUGUAAUAAGG